GAUGAAGAACGCAGCGAAAUGCGAUAACUAAUGUGAAUUGCAGAAUUCCGUGAAUCAUCGAGUCUUUGAACGCACAUUGCGCCCCCUGGUAUUCCGGGGGGCAUGCCUGUCCGAGCGUCAUUGCUGCCCAUCAAGCACGGCUUGUGUGUUGGGUCCUCGUCCCCCCCGGGGGACGUGCCCGAAAGGCAGCGGCGGCACCGCGUCCGGUCCUCGAGCGUAUGGGGCUUUGUCACCCGCUCUGCAGGCCCGGCCGGCGCUGGCCGACGCGAAAGCAACCAUUUUUUCUCCAGGUUGACCUCGGAUCAGGUAGGGAUACCCGCUGAACUUAAGCAUAUCAAUAACGGAGGA
RNAcentral lists this unclassified non-coding RNA (348 nucleotides) under soil metagenome. RNAcentral's name for it is "partial contains 5.8S ribosomal RNA, internal transcribed spacer 2, and large subunit ribosomal RNA". The stretch from base 1 to 120 matches the Rfam family "5.8S ribosomal RNA", at positions 35 to 154 of the family's 154-position model. The record is from RNAcentral.